Molecule: transfer RNA, 73 nt
Filed under: Fasciola gigantica
Lineage: Eukaryota; Metazoa; Platyhelminthes; Trematoda; Plagiorchiida; Fasciolidae
Rfam family: tRNA
About the family: Transfer RNA (tRNA) molecules are approximately 80 nucleotides in length. Their secondary structure includes four short double-helical elements and three loops (D, anti-codon, and T loops).
Source: Rfam by way of RNAcentral
AUUGCGAAAGCUCAGCUGGUAGAGCAUCUGCCAGGUACGCAGAGAGUGGCCGGUUCGAUUCCGGCUUGCGGAG